UAAAACUGGGAUUAGAUACCCCACUAUGYUCAGCCCUAAACUAUGAUAUUUAAUACAACACAAAUAUCCGCCAGAGAACUACGAGCCUACAGCUUAAAACUUAAAGGACUUGGCGGUGUCCCAUACCCAACUAGAGGAGCCUGUUCUAUAAGCGAUAUUCCACGAUCAACCUUACCACCCUUUGCUCCCCAGCUUAUAUACCGCCGUCUCAAGCUUACCUUAUGAAAGCUAAAAAGUAAGCGAAAUAGCUCCUACAGCUAGAAAGUCAGGUCCAGGUGUAGCCAAUAGGGUGGGUGUAAUGGGCUACAUUUUCUAAAAUAGAAAUAUCUACGGACAGUCCCUUGAAACAAGGACUAACAAGUCGGAUUUAGCAGUAAUCUAGGAAUAGAAAGCCUAUAUUAAACCGGCCCUGGGACAAGCACACACCGCCCGUCACCCMMC
This 441-nucleotide ribosomal RNA is filed under the name Pelomedusa subrufa. RNAcentral's name for it is "partial 12S ribosomal RNA". It matches the Rfam family "Bacterial small subunit ribosomal RNA", at positions 767 to 1405 of the family's 1533-position model. Lineage: Eukaryota; Metazoa; Chordata; Testudines; Pelomedusidae. The record is from RNAcentral.